GUGGGAAACACUGAUCCUUCUUGUGAAAGGCUUGCUGCUGUUUGUCUGCUAAGCCUCAGCCUGUUGGCAGGUGUUCAUCGUGCUUGGACAAGAGCUUGGAGUCCCAGCACGUGGAGGAAGGCCAAAGCGAGUCCAAGGUGAUGAUGAAGAGAGAAGCGAGUUUCGCUGGAUGUCGCUUCUGCUGUAACUGCUGUUCUGGGAUGAGAGGCUGUGGGAUCUGCUGCGACUUCUGACCCCCUUUUCCCGUCACCCGGUCGGUGCCUGGAGGCUCCCCAGCCCUUCCUGGGAGCAGAUCGAAGCCAGCCUGGUGCUGAAUUUGCCUGGGUUCAGGGGGAUGCUAACCCUCCUGCUCAGCCCCAAUAAAGUAUCUGCCUAG
RNAcentral lists this long non-coding RNA (376 nucleotides) under Gopherus agassizii (Agassiz's desert tortoise). RNAcentral describes it as "lncRNA (ENSGAGG00000010685.1)". Lineage: Eukaryota; Metazoa; Chordata; Testudines; Testudinidae. The record is from RNAcentral.